This 433-nucleotide ribosomal RNA is filed under the name uncultured bacterium. RNAcentral's name for it is "partial 16S ribosomal RNA". It matches the Rfam family "Bacterial small subunit ribosomal RNA", at positions 29 to 507 of the family's 1533-position model. The record is from RNAcentral.
AACGAACGCUGGCGGCAGGCUUAACACAUGCAAGUCGAACGCACCUUUCGGGGUGAGUGGCAGACGGGUGAGUAACGCGUGGGAAUCUACCCUUCUCUACGGGAUAGCUCCGGGAAACUGGAAUUAAUACCGUAUACGUCCUGAGGGAGAAAGAUUUAUCGGGGAAGGAUGAGCCCGCGUUGGAUUAGCUAGUUGGUGGGGUAAAGGCCUACCAAGGCGAUGAUCCAUAGCUGGUCUAAGAGGAUGAUCAGCCACAUUGGGACUGAGACACGGCCCAAACUCCUACGGGAGGCAGCAGUGGGGAAUAUUGGACAAUGGGCGCAAGCCUGAUCCAGCCAUGCCGCGUGAGUGAUGAAGGCCCUAGGGUUGUAAAGCUCUUUCAGUGGGGACGAUAAUGACGGUACCCACAGAAGAAGCCCCGGCUAACUUCGUG